GUCAGGAUAGCCGAGCGGUCUAAGGUGCUGCGUUCAGGUUGCAGUCUCCUCUGGAGGCGUGGGUUCGAAUCCCACUUCUGACA
Molecule: transfer RNA, 83 nt
Filed under: Danio rerio (zebrafish)
Lineage: Eukaryota; Metazoa; Chordata; Actinopteri; Cypriniformes; Danionidae
Description: tRNA-Leu (CAG) (tRNA-Leu-CAG-79-1)
Rfam family: tRNA
About the family: Transfer RNA (tRNA) molecules are approximately 80 nucleotides in length. Their secondary structure includes four short double-helical elements and three loops (D, anti-codon, and T loops).
Source: Rfam by way of RNAcentral